This 238-nucleotide ribosomal RNA is filed under the name uncultured bacterium. RNAcentral describes it as "partial 16S ribosomal RNA". It matches the Rfam family "Bacterial small subunit ribosomal RNA", at positions 96 to 334 of the family's 1533-position model. The record is from RNAcentral.
CGGCGGACGGGUGAGUAACGCGUGGGUAACCUGCCUCAUACAGGGGGGUAACAGUUAGAAAUGACUGCUAAUACCGCAUAAGACCACGGUACCGCAUGGUACAGUGGUAAAAACUCCGGUGGUAUGAGAUGGACCCGCGUCUGAUUAGGUAGUUGGUGGGGUAACGGCCUACCAAGCCGACGAUCAGUAGCCGACCUGAGAGGGUGACCGGCCACAUUGGGACUGAGACACGGCCCAA